Molecule: non-coding RNA, 989 nt
Organism: Paramisgurnus dabryanus
Lineage: Eukaryota; Metazoa; Chordata; Actinopteri; Cypriniformes; Cobitidae
Source: RefSeq, a predicted model, not a curated record
ACUCGAGGUGGCUUCACUCAGAGGUUGGAGAAGACAACUGGUGGACUAAACAUCAAGCCUCUGCACGAUUCAGGUAAGUGGAAUAAAAUACAUUGUAAAUAAACAUUAUUAAAACAGAUUGUGAAGUCAUUCAUUCAAAACUUGCUAUGACCUAAGCCUAAAUGACUUAAUUUCUUUUUAGAAUUAAGACAACCUUAGCAGGAGAGCCCCAGCAGUAACUUUCUCUCAAGCAGAUGAGCAAUAAGUUGCUUUGUAUGAACACCACCCUAACAAUCAAGUAGCCUGUUAACAGUAGACCAAAGGUAUGAUGAUCAAUUAUAAAUGCAAUAUGGUUGAAAGCUUGACAAAAAUGUAGCUUGAAGGAGAAGGGACAGCUGAGUAACAAAGUCCUGGUACGCAGACGACGAUACUUUUACACUGACAAGAGUGUAAUGAUGAUGGAGACACAAGCCAGAGAAAGGGGGACCAAACACCAGGCCAGAAUUCUGCAUGAGUCAGAUCCAGUGGGUGCAGAUCAUCAUACAGAUGGUUCAAGUGUGGAUCCACCUAAUAUUCAAGAUUUUCUGUCCUGGGACACUCGGCUAACCAUCAAGAAAGAACACAGUAGGUUAACAAGAAUCUGACCUCACGUUUGAUCAUUACAAAAUUAUGGCAGUACAUUACACAUUUAAGGACUGUUAUUCCUCUGGCUGAUUUAAAAAUACCCAAAAGUUCUUAAAAAGAAGCAGCCCUAGUUAUUUUGGCUUGUUAAACAUAAACUAUAUAGACAUAACUAUUGCGACACCUCCUUCUAAUAAACAGGUUUAAAUACUUUACUUAUUUCCAUGAGCACAAAUCUUAAUGCUACAGCAUAUGAUAUUCUAGAAAAACCGUUUGAUGCUAAAUUUAUAGCAAGAGUUUUGGCAGGGCCCUUUUCAAUACCAACUUAAGAAUGACCCUACAAACAAAGUAAGGUUCAAACAGAAAAUUAGUGAUUCAGUCUGGUGUGG